This 407-nucleotide long non-coding RNA is filed under the name Rattus norvegicus (Norway rat). RNAcentral describes it as "long non-coding RNA NONRATT030892". The record is from RNAcentral. Lineage: Eukaryota; Metazoa; Chordata; Mammalia; Rodentia; Muridae.
GUGCUGCUGUGCGCCGCUGCCGUCGCAGUCACCCUGCUGCCUGCCUGGCUGCAGUACUUGCCGUUAGCCUCUUCAUUCUCUGGGCCCUAAGGCAAGACAUCCUCAAAUCUUGAGCUCUAAAGAUUUUUCAGACCCCACACAACUUGGAACGUAGGUUAAUACCUGGUCAAAUCUUGAGCCUAAGUCCAAGUGUCCUCAGCCCUGACCACACUGAACCCUUGAAUUCAGAUAACCCUAACCCUCAGUAGACCCAAUAGCCUCCCUCCAACUGUUUCAAGGUUCUCUCCCUCCCCCACAAUGUUCUCAGUAUCAAGGACCAACAUGUGGGACUGGCUAGGGAUAGCCCCAGCUGGGAAUGGGGCACAUAUAAUAGUGUUGCUACAAUAAAGCCUUUGAAUCUCAAGCUA